CCUACGGGAGGCAGCAGUGAGGAAUAUUGGUCAAUGGACGCAAGUCUGAACCAGCCAUGCCGCGUGCAGGAAGACGGCUCUAUGAGUUGUAAACUGCUUUUGUACGAGGGUAAACGCAGAUACGCGUACCUGUCUGAAAGUAUCGUACGAAUAAGGAUCGGCUAACUCCGUGCCAGCAGCCGCGGUAAUACGGAGGAUUCAAGCGUUAUCCGGAUUUAUUGGGUUUAAAGGGUGCGUAGGCGGUCUGAUAAGUUAGAGGUGAAAGCCCGGGGCUCAACUUCGGAAUUGCCUCUGAUACUGUCCGGCUGGAGAGUAGUUGCGGUAGGCGGAAUGUAUGGUGUAGCGGUGAAAUGCUUAGAGAUCGUACAGAACACCGAUUGCGAAGGCAGCUUACCAGGCUACUUCUGACGUUGAGGCACGAAAGCGUGGGGAGCAAACAGGAUUAGAUACCCGGGUAGUC
Molecule: ribosomal RNA, 460 nt
Filed under: uncultured bacterium
Lineage: Bacteria
Description: partial 16S ribosomal RNA
Rfam family: Bacterial small subunit ribosomal RNA
Source: RNAcentral